This 592-nucleotide ribosomal RNA is filed under the name uncultured fungus. RNAcentral's name for it is "eukaryotic LSU rRNA". It matches the Rfam family "Eukaryotic large subunit ribosomal RNA", at positions 40 to 647 of the family's 3401-position model. Lineage: Eukaryota; Fungi. The record is from RNAcentral.
AUAUCAAUAAGCGGAGGAAAAGAAACCAACAGGGAUUGCCUCAGUAACGGCGAGUGAAGCGGCAACAGCUCAAAUUUGAAAUCUGGAGCCUUCGGCUUCCGAGUUGUAAUUUGAAGAGGAUGUUUCGGUGCGACCUGGGCCUAAGUUCCUUGGAACAGGACGUCAUGGAGGGUGAGAAUCCCGUACAUGGCUGCAGGUUUGCUUCUAUGUGAAACUCCUUCGAAGAGUCGAGUUGUUUGGGAAUGCAGCUCAAAAUGGGUGGUAAAUUUCAUCUAAAGCUAAAUAUUGGGGGGAGACCGAUAGCGCACAAGUAGAGUGAUCGAAAGAUGAAAAGCACUUUGAAAAGAGAGUUAAACAGUACGUGAAAUUGUUGAAAGGGAAGCGCUUGCAAUCAGACUCGCCUUCAGUUGAUCAGCCUUCCUUCUGGUUGGUGCACUCUGCUGUUGGCGGGCCAGCAUCAGUUGGGGCGGUGGGACAAAGGCGGCAGGAAUGUGGCUCGCUUCGGUGAGUGUUAUAGCCUGCUGCGUCAUGCCACCAGCCCCGAUUGAGGUCCGCGGUUCGCCUAGGAUGCUGGCUUAAUGGUUGUAAGCGA